CAGCACUAGACUCCCUACCACCUCUCCUGGACUGCCUCUCCUCCCCAGACUCCACAAGUCCACACCCUCUCCUGCACCGCAGCCACGGAAGGUGCCCCUAACCUCAUCUGGGUGCCAGAGCGAAUAGUGCAUCAUGCCCAUGGACCUGGGAAAACAGCUCAUCCUGCCAUUCAAGAAGCUGAAAAUCACAGCUCCCGUGAUGAUGCCAGCUCAUCCACCAACCCCGAAGAAGGAGAAAAGCAGAAUGCAGGUGACCAAGGCCACCCAAGAAGAUAAUAUCCCCACUUGGGGUCAACUGAAGAAGCUGACCACUGAUGCUCAGCAACUGGUGAAAGAACAGGAGGUUCAGUCAGCAGCAAGCUCCUGUAAUCUCAAGUCCAAAGGCUCCAACUAGAUGUCCAUAAGCUACUUUUAAAAAUAAAGAAGGAGGAGAUGUAGAGAGAAGCUGGGAAGGCACAUGAGCAUUUCUUUAAUUAUUUUCAGCUGAGUCCAGUGGCAUUGGCAGAGCCACAUCCUGGAGACAUACUGUGCCAGAGGCAGACGUAUCAGCCUCUGUAAGCAGUGACCAGUACGAAUGGAGAGCAGCAGCCUUCAACCCAGCAACAUCCAGGGCGCUAAUGGCAACCGUUGAGGUCUCCUGCCUGAUAGAGGAGGACUCCACUUCGCUCCGAGAGACAAGCCCCUGACUGCUCUGCUGUGUGAGCCUGAACCAACUGCUCCGUCUUCUUCGUCAUCCAUCCUUCAGUGUGCAUCACCAGGUGGCCUUUCCUGGAGCCUAGGACCCAGUAG
Molecule: long non-coding RNA, 789 nt
Organism: Eptesicus fuscus (big brown bat)
Lineage: Eukaryota; Metazoa; Chordata; Mammalia; Chiroptera; Vespertilionidae
Exons: 5
Source: RefSeq, a predicted model, not a curated record